GAUGAACGCUGGCGGCGUGCCUAAUACAUGCAAGUCGAGCGAACAGACGAGGAGCUUGCUCCUCUGACGUUAGCGGCGGACGGGUGAGUAACACGUGGAUAACCUACCUAUAAGACUGGGAUAACUUCGGGAAACCGGAGCUAAUACCGGAUAAUAUAUUGAACCGCAUGGUUCAAUAGUGAAAGACGGUUUUGCUGUCACUUAUAGAUGGAUCCGCGCCGCAUUAGCUAGUUGGUAAGGUAACGGCUUACCAAGGCAACGAUGCGUAGCCGACCUGAGCGGGUGAUCGGCCACACUGGAACUGAGACACGGUCCAGACUCCUACGGGAGGCAGCAGUAGGGAAUCUUCCGCAAUGGGCGAAAGCCUGACGGAGCAACGCCGCGUGAGUGAUGAAGGUCUUCGGAUCGUAAAACUCUGUUAUUAGGGAAGAACAAAUGUGUAAGUAACUAUGCACGUCUUGACGGUACCUAAUCAGAAAGCCACGGCUAACUACGUG
Molecule: ribosomal RNA, 497 nt
Filed under: uncultured bacterium
Lineage: Bacteria
Description: partial 16S ribosomal RNA
Rfam family: Bacterial small subunit ribosomal RNA
Source: RNAcentral